AGCAGCCGCGGUAAUUCCAGCUCCAAUAGCGUAUAUUAAAGUUGUUGCAGUUAAAAAGCUCGUAGUUGAACUUCGGGGUUCACCCAUUGGUCAGGCUUAAUUGUCUGUACUGGUGAGAUGAGUCUCUACCUUCUGAGGAACUUUCAUGCCAUUUAUUUGGUGUGAUUGGAAAUCAGGACUGUUACUUUGAAAAAUUAGAGUGUUUAAAGCAGGCUAACGUCUGAAUACAUUAGCAUGGAAUAAUGAAAUAGGACGGACUGAUUCUAUUUCGUUGGUUUCUAGGAUCACCGUAAUGAUUAAUAGGGAUAGUUGGGGGCAUUAGUAUUCAAUUGUCAGAGGUGAAAUUCUUGGAUUUAUUGAAGACUAACUACUGCGAAAGCAUUUGCCAAGGAUGUUUUCAUUAAUCAAGAACGAAAGUUAGGGGAUCGAAGACGAUCAGAUACCGUCGUAGUCU
RNAcentral lists this small RNA (454 nucleotides) under uncultured Diversispora. RNAcentral's name for it is "SSU rRNA". It matches the Rfam family "Eukaryotic small subunit ribosomal RNA", at positions 569 to 1026 of the family's 1831-position model. The record is from RNAcentral. Lineage: Eukaryota; Fungi; Glomeromycota; Glomeromycetes; Diversisporales; Diversisporaceae.